Molecule: ribosomal RNA, 253 nt
Filed under: uncultured bacterium
Lineage: Bacteria
Description: partial 16S ribosomal RNA
Rfam family: Bacterial small subunit ribosomal RNA
Source: RNAcentral
UACGGAGGGUGCAAGCAUUAAUCGGAUUUAUUGGGCGUAAAGGGCGCGUAGGCGGGAUAGUUUGUCAGAUGUGAAAUCCUGGGGCUCAACCUCAGAACUGCAUUUGAAACGGCUAAUCUAGAGGGUAAGAGGGGAAAACGGAAUUCCACAUGUAGCGGUGAAAUGCGUAGAUAUGUGGAAGAACACCAGUGGCGAAGGCGGUUUUCUAGCUUAUUCCUGACGCUGAGGCGCGAAAGCAAGGGGAGCAAACAGG